Xiphophorus couchianus (Monterrey platyfish) is the source of this 698-nucleotide long non-coding RNA. RefSeq lists it as uncharacterized. The record is from RefSeq and is a predicted model, not a curated record. The transcript has 15 exons. Lineage: Eukaryota; Metazoa; Chordata; Actinopteri; Cyprinodontiformes; Poeciliidae.
AGGAGCCAAAGUAGCGGGGACAUAAAAAGCAGACGCACCGGAUUCUUCUUCCACUUCCUCCUUCCCUCUGCUGCUGCAAAGAAGAGAUGGCGCACGGUUUGCUGCCAAAGGUUUCGGUUUUGAGGCUUCUUGCACAAGAAGAUGUGAUCAACACCUUCAGUGAGGAUCAACGCCUCAAGCCCAGCAGGAUUUGUUCCCCAAUAACAUCAUAAAUGCUGGAGAGGUGUUGGAAACCUAGUGGAGAUGAAAACCUGUGAAAUAUCAGCUGUGAUAAAUGCUUCACUAAUAGUGAAUCUAAAGUGGCCGACAUCUGGCCCUGGAAAAUCAUAAACAAGUCCUGAACAGCUUCGCCGACCUGAUGGAGAGUUCCUGUUUUGAAGGUCAAAAUCAGGAAGUGAUGUCAUCAAGGUUCCCCUCCACAUAACUGGCGUUCAUCCAGGAAGGAGGAGCCACCCGAAGCGCAGCAUUGGAACGAAGCGCAGAUGAAGGUUGAAGUUGCCUAAACCAUAUUGAUGGAAAUGGUCAACUGAACCAUAUUGGUUUUCUUCUCGAGGACGAUGAAACUUCUGACCAGACUGUAUUUUAGCCUGACGUCUUGGCUUGAGGUUUGCUGGUGGACUCCAGCUGAAUCUGAAGAACUUGCUGUUGAGAUUUUUUUUAAAAAAUUUUGUUUUCUGUGAAUUAAAACUGACAAAAUA